UAACGUCAGCGGCAGACGGGUGAGUAACGCGUGGGAACAUACCUUUUGGUUCGGAACAACACAGGGAAACUUGUGCUAAUACCGGAUAAGCCCUUACGGGGAAAGAUUUAUCGCCGAAAGAUUGGCCCGCGUCUGAUUGGCUAGUUGGUGAGGUAACGGCUCACCAAGGCGACGAUCAGUAGCUGGUCUGAGAGGAUGAUCAGCCACAUUGGGACUGAGACACGGCCCAA
Molecule: ribosomal RNA, 230 nt
Filed under: uncultured bacterium
Lineage: Bacteria
Description: partial 16S ribosomal RNA
Rfam family: Bacterial small subunit ribosomal RNA
Source: RNAcentral